AGCGUAUAUUAAAGUUGUUGCAGUUAAAAAGCUCGUAGUUGAAUUUCGGGAUCAAUACGUCGGUCGUGCUUCGGUACGUACUGGCGUCAUUGAUUUCUCCCUUCUGAAGAACCUUGAUGCCAUUAACUUGGUGUCAUGGGAAAUCAGGACUGUUACUUUGAAAAAAUUAGAGUGUUUAAAGCAGGCUCACGCUUGAAUACAUUAGCAUGGAAUAAUGAAAUAGGACGUUCGACCCUAUUUUGUUGGUUUCUAGGAUCAACGUAAUGAUUAAUAGGGAUAGUUGGGGGCAUUAGUAUUCAAUUGUCAGAGGUGAAAUUCUUGGAUUUAUUGAAGACUAACUACUGCGAAAGCAUUUGCCAAGGAUGUUUUCAUUAAUCAAGAACGAAAGUUAGGGGAUCGAAGACGAUCAGAUACCGUCGUAGUCUUAACCAUAAAC
RNAcentral lists this ribosomal RNA (436 nucleotides) under uncultured Glomeromycotina. RNAcentral describes it as "SSU rRNA". It matches the Rfam family "Eukaryotic small subunit ribosomal RNA", at positions 596 to 1037 of the family's 1831-position model. Lineage: Eukaryota; Fungi; Glomeromycota. The record is from RNAcentral.